RNAcentral lists this ribosomal RNA (906 nucleotides) under Oryza officinalis. RNAcentral describes it as "eukaryotic LSU rRNA". It matches the Rfam family "Eukaryotic large subunit ribosomal RNA", at positions 1 to 974 of the family's 3401-position model. Lineage: Eukaryota; Viridiplantae; Streptophyta; Magnoliopsida; Poales; Poaceae. The record is from RNAcentral.
CCCCAGGUCAGGCGGGACUACCCGCUGAGUUUAAGCAUAUAAAUAAGCGAAGGAGAAGAAAUUUACUAGGAUUCCCCUAAUAACCGAAUUGUAGUCUGGAUUAGAGUCCUCAGCGAAGGACCGAGCCCAACUCCCAUGGAAAGGGGCACCUGGGAGGGUGAGAGCCCCAUUCGGCAUGGACCCGAUCGCCCCAUGAGGCGCCGUCAACGAGAUUGGUUGUUUGAGAAUGCAACCCAAAUCGGGCGAUAAACUCCGUCCAAGGCUAAAUACAGGCGAGAGACUGAUAGCGAACAAGUACCACGAGGGAAAGAUGAAAAGGACUUUGAAAAGAGAGUCAAACAGUGCUUGAAAUUGCUGGGAGGGAAGCGGAUGGGGGCCGGCGAUGCGCCCUGGUCGUAUGCGUAACAACUUCGGCUGGUCCGCCAAUUUGAUCAGGGCGUGGACUGUUGUCGGCCACGCCGGUGGCCAAAGCUCGGGGGCCUCGCACCCCUCGUAGCCGUUGUCGGCGUAGCCGGUCACCGCGCGCCUCUGGCGCGCCCCUUGGGGUGCCACGCUGUAACAGCCUGCGGGCUCCCCAUCUGACCCGUCUUGAAACACGGACCAAGGAGUCUGACAUGCGUGCGAGUCGAUGGGUUCUGAAACCUAGGAUGCCAAGGAAGCUGAUGAGCGGGAGGCCCUCAUGGGCCGCAUCGCUGGCCAACCCUGAUCUUCUGUGAAGGGUUUGAGUUGGAGCACACCUGUCGGGACCUGAAAGAUGGUGAACUAUGCCUGAGCGGGGUGAAGCCAGAGGAAACUCUGGUGGAGGCUCAAAGUGAUACUAACGUGCAAAUCGUUCGUCUGACUUGGGUAUAGGGGCGAAAGACUAAUCGAACCAUCUAGUAGUUGGUUCCCUCCGAAGUUUCCCUC